AUCGAAGACGGAGCAUUCCCUGAUAUGAGGUUCAUGGUGAUACAGGAAAACUUCAAGGUUCCGGCAGAUGGUGUUUAAAACUAUUGGCCAGUAAACACAAAUUAAACCCAUUUAAUUAUAUCUUGAAUCUUCACCAGUAGAAAAAAGAUGGCAGUACUUUUAAUGCAAGCAGCUACUAGGGAAGAUUUAAUGAAGAAGAUGAGGAAGUGGAGAAAAAGCUGAAGAACAAGGAGGACAAGAUGAAGAAAGGACAAGGGCACAGUGACUUGCAGUGUGUGUCAUGUAACAUUAUUACAACAACUAUAUCAUGGGUCCAUAAUUUUGAGUAAGUCAUUCAUCAACCACUUUAUCUGUACUGGAAACCAUUUCUCAGGGGGAUGAAGUGAUGGAAGAUAAUGAGCCAGAGGGUGGAACGGAAGAGAAAGGGAAAGAAAUAAAGAAAAAGGCAAAAUGAAAAAGGACUAGAACUUGCAAUAGAAGAAAAAGUUGAGGGAAAUUAAGAGGAAGAAAUUGAAGAUGAAAAGAAGAGCUCUGGGAGGAAAAAAUUCCAUUUGUUAAGAAUGUGUGGACAAAAGAAAAACAGCCAUAGAAUGCCAAUGUGGAGUGGAAUAAGUCAGUAUGACUUGAUCAUGGUCAAUUGAAGUGUUCGAAUGCCCCUCCAGAAAGCAGAACAAUCUUUGAAUUUGCAGGAAAGAGUAUAAAAUUUGCUGUUAAAAUAUCAUAACAGCUAGACAAAGAUUAAAUAACAACUACACAUACAUCUAAAGAAUUCUUUUGUCAUAAUAGUGAUUCAAGUGCAAGUACAUGUAACAAGUGCUAUAACGACCUAAUAUUAGUGUGUUUUAGGAGCAUGUUGACUCUAUUGUAAAUGUAUUGACUCCUUAUAUGACCUCAAUUAUAUAUAUCAUUAUAUGAAUGGUAGUGUAGUGACUUGAAAUGUGUGUUAGUAGUAUAGCUCGUUAUGUGUGGUAAUUUUGUUAUUUGUUAUACAUGUAUGAUAGUACAUAUAGUAUGGUGACUCGUGUGUUGGGAAUUAAUGUAUAAUUUUAUGUGUGUUACUGGUAUAACUCAUAAUGUGUGUAAAUAUUGCUUUUUGUAAUGUAUAUUUUAUUAGUGUAGUGACUCGACAUGUGUGUUAGUAGUGUAGUGACUCGACAUGUGUGUUAGUUCUGUAGUGACUCGACAUGUGUGUUAGUAAUGUAGUGACUCGACAUGUGUGUUAGUAAUGUAGUGACUUGACAUAUGUGUUAGUUCUGUAGUGACUUGACAUAUGUGUUAGUUCUGUAAUGACUUGACAUGUGUGUUAGUUCUGUAGUGACUUGACAUGUGUGUUAGUUCUGUAGUGACUUGACAUGUGUGUUAGUAGUGUAGCUUAUUAUGUGCGGUAAUUUUGUUAUUUGUUAUGUGAGUUGUACAUGUAGUAUGGCGACUCAUGUGUUGGGAAUGUAUAAUUUUAUAUUCUUGCUCUGAAGGAUACUGUUUUACCCUUGUGUGUCUAGCUGUGUGUGUGUUUAUCUGUCUGUCCAUAACAUGAGAUUUAUUUUUGUACAAGUCUGAUGUCAACUUCCUGUUUAUCUGUGUGUCUGUCUAUACCAUAUAUAACAAAUAUUUGUUGCAGUUUCUCAUCAACUACUUAUUGCAGAUGCAUGAAAAUUUACACACUAUUUGUUUAGGCAUGCCAUAUAAUGGGAUUAAUUUCUGAAUUUGAUGUCAACUUCCUGUUUAACUGUGCGUCUGUCUGUAUAAUAUGGAACAAAUUUUUGUCAAAGUUUUCUCAGCAACAACUCAUUGCAGAUGCUUGAAAUUUAGCACACUCUUUGUUGAGGCAUAAUUGUCAUAUGGUGGGAUUCAUUUUUGUAUGAAUCUGAUGUCAACUUCCUGUUUAUAUGUGCAUCUGUCCAUAGCUGAACUUGUGUAUAUUCACAUGAUAGUGUAUAUUCAUAUCACAGUGGGGGUAUUACCAGUGAGCAUUGGCUCACAGACUUCUGGUUUUAUGUGUGUUACUGAUAUAGCUCAUCAUGUGAUUUAAUGUUGUUAUAUGUAAUGUAUAUAUUAGAAGUGUAGUUACUCGACAUGUGUGUUAGUGGUAUAGUGACUCGACAUGUGUGUUAGUGGUAUAGUGACUCGACGUGUGUAAGUGGUAUAGUGACUCGACAUGUGUGUUAGUAGUGUAGUGACUCGACAUGUGUGUUUGUAGUGUAGCUUUUUAUGUGUGGUAAUUUUGUUAUUUGUUAUGUGUGUUGUACAUGUAGUAUGGUGACUCAUUACGUGUUGGGAAUAUGUAAUUUUAUGUGUGUUAUUGUUAAAGCUCCUCAUGUUCUUAUAUUGUUAUUUGUAAUAUACAGUGAAACUUGUCCUAUCCGGAUGUUGUGUACUCCAAAAUCUUGACUAAUACAGUGUUAACUUUAAGUCACCUGCAGUAGACUCAAUUGUUUUAAAUGUUGUCUAAUCCAGAAUGUUGUCUAAUCCAGCUAAUUUCUUUGGAACCAGUGGUGUUCAGAUUAAAAAAGCUUUACUGUAUAUAUUAGUAGUGUAGUAACUCUACAUGUGUGUUAGUUCUGUAGUGACUUGACAUGUGUGUUAGUUCUGUAGUGACUCAACAUGUGUGUUAGUUCUGUGGUGACUUGACAUGUGUGUUAGUAGUGUAGCUUAUUAUGUGUGGUAAUUUUGUUAUUUGUUAUGUGUGUUGUACAUAUAAUAUGGUGACUGGUGGGAUUGUAUAAUUUUAAAUGUGUUACUUGUAUAACUCGUGUGAUUUAAAAUUGUUAUUUGUAAGGUAUAUAUUAGAAGUGUAGUGACUCGACAUGUGUGUAAGUAGUGUAGUGACUUGACAUGUGUGUUAGUUCUGUAAUGACUUGACAUGUGUGUUAGUUUUGUAGUGACUCGACGUGUGUGUUAGUAGUGUAGUGACUCGACAUGUGUGUUAGUUCUGUAGUGACUUGACAUGUGUGUUAGUAGUGUAGCUUAUUAUGUGUGGUAAUUUUGUUAUUUGUCAUGUGAGUUGUACAUGUAGUAUGGUGACUCAUGUGUUGGGAAUGUAUAAUUUUAUGUGUGUUACUGGUAUAGCUCAAUGUGUUUUUUAAUAUUGUUACAGGUAUUUGUAAUACAUAUAUUUGUAUUGUUAUUUUGAUUUGUGUGUUGUUACAUGUAGCAUGGGACUCAUUUUGUGUUGGGAAUGUAGAAUUUUACCUGCGGUAGUGUAGCUCAUUUUGAGUGCUAAUAUUGUUAUUUUUAUGUGUAAUAGUCGUGUAGUGACUCAAUAUGUGUGUAAGUAGUGUAGCUCAUUAUGUGUUUUCAUGUUGAGUUAGUUUAGAAGAGUGUUGACUUAUUGUGUAAGUUAGAGUAGCCUCUUGCUAUGUGUGAGCAUAAUAUAAAAAGACACUUUUUUAUGAUGUGUAUAUAAUUACAUGUAUUAAAACAAUGCUAAAUAUAAUAUUAUAUCAACCUCUGUUGAUAAACAUGCAUGUGUUGAAUUUCUAAUGUAAUGUAAGCUGCAUGAAUAGAUCAUAUUUUGACUGAAUUUUGAAUGAGCACAAUUUGUGAUGAUUUUAAUUUUUGAAAUAAACAGAAAUUUAAUUUUC
Molecule: long non-coding RNA, 3581 nt
Organism: Saccostrea echinata
Lineage: Eukaryota; Metazoa; Mollusca; Bivalvia; Ostreida; Ostreidae
Exons: 6
Source: RefSeq, a predicted model, not a curated record